This 207-nucleotide ribosomal RNA is filed under the name uncultured bacterium. RNAcentral describes it as "partial 16S ribosomal RNA". It matches the Rfam family "Bacterial small subunit ribosomal RNA", at positions 568 to 774 of the family's 1533-position model. The record is from RNAcentral.
UGCGUAGGCGGUUUAUUAAGUCAACUGUUAAAUUUCUCAGCUUAACUGGGAGUGUGCGGUAGAAACUGAUAGGCUUGAGGGUGGAAGAGAGAAGUGGAAUUCUCGGAGUAGCGGUAAAAUGCGUAGAUCUCGAGAGGAACACCGAUGGCGAAGGCAGCUUCUUGGUCCAUUUCUGACGCUGAGGCACGAAAGCGUGGGGAGCAAACA